RNAcentral lists this ribosomal RNA (458 nucleotides) under uncultured bacterium. Its description in RNAcentral is "bacterial SSU rRNA". It matches the Rfam family "Bacterial small subunit ribosomal RNA", at positions 335 to 784 of the family's 1533-position model. The record is from RNAcentral.
ACUCCUACGGGAGGCAGCAGUGGGGAAUAUUGCACAAUGGGGGAAACCCUGAUGCAGCCAUGCCGCGUGUGUGAAGAAGGCCUUCGGGUUGUAAAGCACUUUCAGUAGGGAGGAAGGUAGUGUAGUUAACACCUGCACUAUUUGACGUUACCUACAGAAGAAGCACCGGCUAACUCCGUGCCAGCAGCCGCGGUAAUACGGAGGGUGCGAGCGUUAAUCGGAAUUACUGGGCGUAAAGCGCAUGCAGGCGGCCUGUUAAGUCAGAUGUGAAAGCCCGGGGCUUAACCUCGGAAUUGCAUUUGAAACUGGCAGGCUAGAGUCUUGUAGAGGGGGGUAGAAUUUCAGGUGUAGCGGUGAAAUGCGUAGAGAUCUGAAGGAAUACCAGUGGCGAAGGCGGCCCCCUGGACAAAGACUGACGCUCAGAUGCGAAAGCGUGGGGAGCAAAACAGGAUUAGAUA